Molecule: long non-coding RNA, 568 nt
Organism: Alosa sapidissima (American shad)
Lineage: Eukaryota; Metazoa; Chordata; Actinopteri; Clupeiformes; Clupeidae
Exons: 5
Source: RefSeq, a predicted model, not a curated record
CAAUGCUGAGCCCAGUCAGUCAUCCAGUCAGAGUCAUACACAGCUUUGGAUUUCCAGGAUGCUGACCUCCAGAUGGAAUCUGAUGUGUAGGAGGCUAUAGAGCCUGUUACUUGCAGACCAUGUGUAGCAAACAGCACUGGCCUGUCUCAAAUAACUACAUGCAACAUGAUACACAAAACAUAAUUUGUUUAAGCCUUGCUGUGCUAUAUUGAUGGACUACUUGGGACUUAGGAUUCAGAAGCACAGGUCGGGUCAGCACCAGCCAGCUUCCAACACAACAUGGCAUUUACCUCCAUCGCACAGAGCUACGCCCUGAAGCACAGGCUGCACACGUCUUUUUUGUUUGCGUUAUCAGUGCAUAUUCACCCUCCAGCCUUGGCAGUGUUGCUGAUACGUGGAAAAUUCCGGAAUUAGAAUUCAAGAGAGAUAGAAGACAACUUGAAAAAAAAAUGAUUUGAUUACUUGGUUGCCAUCCACAACGUGGAUGACCAGUGCAGUAGCGUGAUGCUUGGAAUAAACACACACACACACACACACCAGCUCACUCCCACACACACACACACACUCA